AAGUCGUAACAAGGUUUCCGUAGGUGAACCUGCGGAAGGAUCAUUAUUGAAUAAUCUUGAUGGAUUGUUGCUGGCUCUUCGAAAGAGCAUGUGCACGUCUGUCAUUUUUAUCUUUCCACCAUGUACACUAUGCAUAGGCCUUGGACGUUUCUUUGAUCAAGCAUUGCUUUGAUUUUUGGAGAUUGCUGUUUGUAUUGACAGCUCUUUCUGUGUUCAAGUUCUAUGAAUUUUAUAUAUACUCCAACGUAUGUUAAAGAACGUUACAAAGGGCCCUUAAAAGCCUAUAAAUUUAUAAUACAACUUUCAGCAACGGAUCUCUUGGCUCUC
RNAcentral lists this unclassified non-coding RNA (327 nucleotides) under Conocybe sp. RNAcentral describes it as "partial internal transcribed spacer region". The stretch from base 1 to 46 matches the Rfam family "Eukaryotic small subunit ribosomal RNA", at positions 1786 to 1831 of the family's 1831-position model. Lineage: Eukaryota; Fungi; Basidiomycota; Agaricomycetes; Agaricales; Bolbitiaceae. The record is from RNAcentral.